This 444-nucleotide ribosomal RNA is filed under the name uncultured bacterium. RNAcentral's name for it is "bacterial SSU rRNA". It matches the Rfam family "Bacterial small subunit ribosomal RNA", at positions 331 to 792 of the family's 1533-position model. The record is from RNAcentral.
CCAGACUCCUACGGGAGGCAGCAGUGGGGGAUAUUGCACAAUGGGGGAACCCUGAUGCAGCGACGCCGCGUGGGUGAAGGAGUGCUUCGGCAUGUAAAGCCCUAUCGGCAGGGAAGAAGCAAGACGGUACCUGACUAAGAAGCCCCGGCUAACUACGUGCCAGCAGCCGCGGUAAUACGUAGGGGGCGAGCGUUAUCCGGAUUCACUGGGUGUAAAGGGAGCGUAGACGGUGAUGCAAGUCAGAAGUGAAAGCCCGCGGCUCAACUGCGGGACUGCUUUUGAAACUGUAUGACUGGAGUGCAGGAGAGGUAAGCGGAAUUCCUAGUGUAGCGGUGAAAUGCGUAGAUAUUAGGAGGAACACCAGUGGCGAAGGCGGCUUACUGGACUGUAACUGACGUUGAGGCUCGAAAGCGUGGGGAGCAAACAGGAUUAGAUACCCUGGUA